This 396-nucleotide ribosomal RNA is filed under the name uncultured bacterium. Its description in RNAcentral is "partial 16S ribosomal RNA". It matches the Rfam family "Bacterial small subunit ribosomal RNA", at positions 338 to 731 of the family's 1533-position model. The record is from RNAcentral.
CCUACGGGUGGCAGCAGUGAGGAAUAUUGGUCAAUGGACGCAAGUCUGAACCAGCCAUGCCGCGUGCAGGAAGACGGCUCUAUGAGUUGUAAACUGCUUUUGUACGAGGAUAAACGCAGAUACGUGUAUCUGUCUGAAAGUAUCGUACGAAUAAGCAUCGGCUAACUCCGUGCCAGCAGCCGCGGUAAUAUGGAGGAUUCAAGCGUUAUCCGGAUUUAUUGGGUUUAAAGGGUGCGUAGGCGGUCGGAUAAGUUAGAGGGGAAAUCCCGAGGCUCAACUUCGGACUUGCCUUUGAUACUGUUCGGCUAGAGAGUAGGUGCGGUAGGCGGAAUGUAUGGUGUAGCGGUGAAAUGCUUAGAGAUCACACAGAACACCGAUUGCGAAGGCAGCUUACCA